Molecule: ribosomal RNA, 550 nt
Filed under: uncultured archaeon
Lineage: Archaea
Description: bacterial SSU rRNA
Rfam family: Archaeal small subunit ribosomal RNA
Source: RNAcentral
CGGGGUGCAGCAGGCGCGAAAACUCCACACUGUACGACAGUACGAUGGGGUUAUCUCGAGUGCAGUCCGAUAAGGGCUGCUUUUCCAUAGAGUAAUAUCCUGUGGGAAUAAGAGGGGGGCAAGACUGGUGUCAGCCGCCGCGGUAACACCAGCCCCUCGAGUGGUGGGGACUAUUAUUUGGUCUAAAGCGUCCGUAGCUGGCUGCAUCCGUCCCCCGUUAAAUCCAGCGUCCUAAACGUUGGACUGCGGGUGAUACCAUACAGCUAGAGGGUGGGAUAGGUGAGCGGUAUUUCUGGGGUAGGGGCGAAAUCCUUUGAUCCCAGGAGGACCACCAGUGGCGAAGGCUGCUCACUAGAACACGCCUGACGGUCAGGGACGAAAGCUGGGGCAGCGAACCGGAUUAGAUACCCGGGUAGUCCCAGCUGUAAACGAUGCUGCUAGGUGUUGGGUCGGCCACGCGCCGCCCCAGUGCCGCAGGGAAGCCGUUAAGCUAGCCACCUGGGGAGUACGGCCGCAAGGCUGAAACUUAAAGGAAUUGGCGGGGGAGCAC